UACGUAGGGGGCAAGCGUUGUCCGGAUUUAUUGGGCGUAAAGCGCACGUAGGCGGCUUCUCAAGUCAGGGGUGAAUCCUGGAGCUCAACUCCAGAACUGCCUUUGAUACUGAGGAUCUUGAGUUCGGGAGAGGUGAGUGGAACUGCGAGUGUAGAGGUGAAAUUCGUAGAUAUUCGGAAGAACACCAGUGGCGAAGGCGGCUCACUGGACUGGUAUUGACGCUGAGGUGCGAAAGCGUGGGGAGCAACAGG
RNAcentral lists this ribosomal RNA (251 nucleotides) under uncultured bacterium. RNAcentral's name for it is "partial 16S ribosomal RNA". It matches the Rfam family "Bacterial small subunit ribosomal RNA", at positions 524 to 775 of the family's 1533-position model. The record is from RNAcentral.